UGGUUGUCGUUUGUUUAUGUGUUACAUAUUUGUUUUUCGUUCUUUUUUUUACAUAAAUAAGGCCGUUAGUUUUCUCGUUUGAAUUGUUUUACAUUAUCUUAUCGGGGCCUUUUAUAGCUCACUAUUCGGUAUGGGCUUUGCUCAUUGUUGAAGGCCGUACGGUGACCUUUAGUUGUUAAUGUCUGUGUCAUUUUGGUCUUUUGUGGAUAG
RNAcentral lists this long non-coding RNA (210 nucleotides) under Mytilus galloprovincialis (Mediterranean mussel). Lineage: Eukaryota; Metazoa; Mollusca; Bivalvia; Mytilida; Mytilidae. The record is from RNAcentral.